UUACUCUGACUUAUCUUCAGAACGCAUAAAUCUUUUGGCUUUUACUAAAGAUUUCCGUGGACAGGAUCAGUAAGAGUUUAAUUUCUAUUUUCUGUUGGCAAUGAGUAAGUCUGCCA
Small nuclear RNA from Protopterus annectens (West African lungfish), 116 nucleotides. RefSeq annotates it as U5 spliceosomal RNA. The record is from RefSeq and is a predicted model, not a curated record. The transcript has a single exon. NCBI's taxonomy places the organism in Eukaryota, Metazoa, Chordata, Ceratodontiformes, Protopteridae.